This 310-nucleotide unclassified non-coding RNA is filed under the name Hevea brasiliensis (rubber tree). The record is from RNAcentral. Lineage: Eukaryota; Viridiplantae; Streptophyta; Magnoliopsida; Malpighiales; Euphorbiaceae.
GGAAUCUUCACUUUUGUCUAUUAGUUCGUGAUUUUCCAUCCUUUUACCUGAAGAGGUAGGUAGAUUAUUUCCUGGAAAUCUGGGAUUUUGGACCUUGUGUGCAACCUUGUUAUUUGAGGCAAUCCGUGCCAUUGAACGAGCAAAUGGAGAGAAACUUAAAGGUAGACAUCGCGCUGGUCUGCAAUGUCUUGCUGGCUUUCGGGGCAUUAUACAAAUUAGGCAAACUGACGGAAAGGUGGAAAAGGUGCGCCGGCGGGGAAAGCUCUGGCGACGAGAAUGGAGGCCGGAGGGGAGUACGGCAGGGUUUUAG